GCAAGUCGAACGAACUCUGGUAUUGAUUGGUGCUUGCAUCAUGAUUUACAUUUGAGUGAGUGGCGAACUGGUGAGUAACACGUGGGAAACCUGCCCAGAAGCGGGGGAUAACACCUGGAAACAGAUGCUAAUACCGCAUAACAACUUGGACCGCAUGGUCCGAGUUUGAAAGAUGGCUUCGGCUAUCACUUUUGGAUGGUCCCGCGGCGUAUUAGCUAGAUGGUGGGGUAACGGCUCACCAUGGCAAUGAUACGUAGCCGACCUGAGAGGGUAAUCGGCCACAUUGGGACUGAGACACGGCCCAAACUCCUACGGGAGGCAGCAGUAGGGAAUCUUCCACAAUGGACGAAAGUCUGAUGGAGCAACGCCGCGUGAGUGAAGAAGGGUUUCGGCUCGUAAAACUCUGUUGUUAAAGAAGAACAUAUCUGAGAGUAACUGUUCAGGUAUUGACGGUAUUUAACCAGAAAGCCACGGCUAACUACGUGCCAGCAGCCGCGGUAAUACGUAGGUGGCAAGCGUUGUCCGGAUUUAUUGGGCGUAAAGCGAGCGCAGGCGGUUUUUAAGUCUGAUGUGAAAGCCUUCGGCUCAACCGAAGAAGUGCAUCGGAAACUGGGAAACUUGAGUGCAGAAGAGGACAGUGGAACUCCAUGUGUAGCGGUGAAAUGCGUAGAUAUAUGGAAGAACACCAGUGGCGAAGGCGGCUGUCUGGUCUGUAACUGACGCUGAGGCUCGAAAGUAUGGGUAGCAAACAGGAUUAGAUACCCUGGUAGUCCAUACCGUAAACGAUGAAUGCUAAGUGUUGGAGGGUUUCCGCCCUUCAGUGCUGCAGCUAACGCAUUAAGCAUUCCGCCUGGGGAGUACGGCCGCAAGGCUGAAACUCAAAGGAAUUGACGGGGGCCCGCACAAGCGGUGGAGCAUGUGGUUUAAUUCGAAGCUACGCGAAGAACCUUACCAGGUCUUGACAUACUAUGCAAAUCUAAGAGAUUAGACGUUCCCUUCGGGGACAUGGAUACAGGUGGUGCAUGGUUGUCGUCAGCUCGUGUCGUGAGAUGUUGGGUUAAGUCCCGCAACGAGCGCAACCCUUAUUAUCAGUUGCCAGCAUUAAGUUGGGCACUCUGGUGAGACUGCCGGUGACAAACCGGAGGAAGGUGGGGAUGACGUCAAAUCAUCAUGCCCCUUAUGACCUGGGCUACACACGUGCUACAAUGGAUGGUACAACGAGUUGCGAACUCGCGAGAGUAAGCUAAUCUCUUAAAGCCAUUCUCAGUUCGGAUUGUAGGCUGCAACUCGCCUACAUGAAGUCGGAAUCGCUAGUAAUCGCGGAUCAGCAUGCCGCGGUGAAUACGUUCCCGGGCCUUGUACACACCGCCCGUCACACGCAUGAGAGUUUGUAACACCCAAAGUCGGUGGGGUAACCUUUUAGGAACCAGCCG
RNAcentral lists this ribosomal RNA (1433 nucleotides) under Lactiplantibacillus plantarum. RNAcentral describes it as "bacterial SSU rRNA". It matches the Rfam family "Bacterial small subunit ribosomal RNA". The record is from RNAcentral. Lineage: Bacteria; Bacillati; Bacillota; Bacilli; Lactobacillales; Lactobacillaceae.